Molecule: ribosomal RNA, 295 nt
Filed under: uncultured bacterium
Lineage: Bacteria
Description: partial 16S ribosomal RNA
Rfam family: Bacterial small subunit ribosomal RNA
Source: RNAcentral
GGAUUAGAUACCCUGGUAGUCCACGCCGUAAACGAUGAGUGCUAGUUGUCGGGGGGUUGCCCCUCGGUGACGCAGCUAACGCGUUAAGCACUCCGCCUGGGGAGUACGGCCGCAAGGCUAAAACUCAAAGAAAUUGACGGGGGCCCGCACAAGCGGUGGAGCAUGUGGUUUAAUUCGAAGCAACGCGCAGAACCUUACCGGCCCUUGACAUGGGAAGUUUGAUUACCAGAGAUGGUUUUCUUCAGUUCGGCUGGCUUCCACACAGGUGCUGCAUGGCUGUCGUCAGCUCGUGCUG